UACGUAGGGUGCGAGCGUUAAUCGGAAUUACUGGGCGUAAAGCGUGCGCAGGCGGUUAUGCAAGACAGGUGUGAAAUCCCCGGGCUCAACCUGGGAACUGCAUUUGUGACUGCAUAGCUAGAGUGCGGCAGAGGGGGAUGGAAUUCCGCGUGUAGCAGUGAAAUGCGUAGAUAUGCGGAGGAACACCGAUGGCGAAGGCAAUCCCCUGGGCCUGCACUGACGCUCAUGCACGAAAGCGUGGGGAGCAAACAGG
Molecule: ribosomal RNA, 253 nt
Filed under: uncultured bacterium
Lineage: Bacteria
Description: partial 16S ribosomal RNA
Rfam family: Bacterial small subunit ribosomal RNA
Source: RNAcentral